This 254-nucleotide ribosomal RNA is filed under the name uncultured bacterium. RNAcentral describes it as "partial 16S ribosomal RNA". It matches the Rfam family "Bacterial small subunit ribosomal RNA", at positions 524 to 776 of the family's 1533-position model. The record is from RNAcentral.
UACAGAGGUCCCGAGCGUUUGUUCGGAUUCAUUGGGCGUAAAGGGUGCGUAGGCGGUUUGCUAAGUUUGAUGUGAAAGCCCGGGGCUCAACCCUGGAAUUGCAUUGAAUACUGGCGGACUAGAGUACUGGAGAGGAAACUGGAAUUUACGGUGUAGCAGUGAAAUGCGUAGAGAUCGUAAGGAAGACCAGUGGCGAAGGCGAGUUUCUGGACAGUUACUGACGCUGAGGCACGAAGGCCAGGGGAGCAAACGGG